Molecule: ribosomal RNA, 484 nt
Filed under: uncultured bacterium
Lineage: Bacteria
Description: partial 16S ribosomal RNA
Rfam family: Bacterial small subunit ribosomal RNA
Source: RNAcentral
AUUGAACGCUGGCGGCAUGCUUUACACAUGCAAGUCGAACGGCAGCGCGGGCGUCUGCCUGGCGGCGAGUGGCGAACGGGUGAGUAAUGCAUCGGAACGUGCCCAGCAGUGGGGGAUAGCCCGGCGAAAGCCGGAUUAAUACCGCAUACGACCUGAGGUGGAAAGCGGGGGACCGAAAGGCCUCGCGCUAUUGCAGCGGCCGAUGGCGGAUUAGCUAGUUGGUGGGGUAAAGGCUUACCAAGGCGACGAUCCGUAGCUGGUCUGAGAGGACGACCAGCCACACUGGGACUGAGACACGGCCCAGACUCCUACGGGAGGCAGCAGUGGGGAAUUUUGGACAAUGGGGGAAACCCUGAUCCAGCCAUGCCGCGUGCGGGAAGAAGGCCUUCGGGUUGUAAACCGCUUUUGUUCGGGAAGAAAUCCUCUGGGCUAAUACCCCGGGGGGAUGACGGUACCGGAAGAAUAAGCACCGGCUAACUACGUG